GAUGAACGCUGGCGGCGUGCCUAAUACAUGCAAGUCGAGCGAACGGACGAGAAGCUUGCUUCUCUGAUGUUAGCGGCGGACGGGUGAGUAACACGUGGAUAACCUACCUAUAAGACUGGGAUAACUUCGGGAAACCGGAGCUAAUACCGGAUAAUAUUUUGAACCGCAUGGUUCAAAAGUGAAAGACGGUCUUGCUGUCACUUAUAGAUGGAUCCGCGCUGCAUUAGCUAGUUGGUAAGGUAACGGCUUACCAAGGCAACGAUGCAUAGCCGACCUGAGAGGGUGAUCGGCCACACUGGAACUGAGACACGGUCCAGACUCCUACGGGAGGCAGCAGUAGGGAAUCUUCCGCAAUGGGCGAAAGCCUGACGGAGCAACGCCGCGUGAGUGAUGAAGGUCUUCGGAUCGUAAAACUCUGUUAUUAGGGAAGAACAUAUGUGUAAGUAACUGUGCACAUCUUGACGGUACCUAAUCAGAAAGCCACGGCUCACUACGUG
This 497-nucleotide ribosomal RNA is filed under the name uncultured bacterium. Its description in RNAcentral is "partial 16S ribosomal RNA". It matches the Rfam family "Bacterial small subunit ribosomal RNA", at positions 28 to 507 of the family's 1533-position model. The record is from RNAcentral.